CCUUCCUGGCCACAGAAGACUCUGUGACAUCAAAGAGGAGUUCUAUAGGAUUGCAGGUUUCCCCAAUGUCAUUGGUGCAGUGGACUGCACACACAUAAGGAUAAAAGCCCCCGCAGGUGCCCAUGAGGCCGAUUUUUGUGAAUAGGAAAUCCUUUCACAGCGUUAAUGUUCAGAUGGUCUGCAAUGCUGACUGUGUGAUCAGCAAUGUUGUGGCAAAAUGGCCUGGCUCAGUCCAUGACUCCAGAAUCUUUCGGGCCUCUGAAAUCUAUCACAAGGUGAAUUCUCUGGUGUGUUGCUGGGAGACAGGGGGUAUGGCUGCCAGCCUUUUCUCCUGACACCUUUCACAGACCCCCAGGAAGCACAGCAGGCCUACAACCAUGCCCAUGCCAGGACCAGGGCCAGAGUUGAAAUGACCUUUGGCCUCCUGAAGGCACGCUUUCACUGCCUUCACAAAUUAAGGGUCAGCCCUGUUAGGGCAUGUGAUAUUACUGUGGCUUGUGCUGUCCUCCACAAUGUGGCCUGCCUGAGGAAGGAGAGGGCCCCAGAGUGCCACCAGCCAUGGACUG
This is a long non-coding RNA of Oncorhynchus nerka (sockeye salmon), 566 nucleotides long. RefSeq lists it as uncharacterized. The transcript is spliced from 4 exons. Lineage: Eukaryota; Metazoa; Chordata; Actinopteri; Salmoniformes; Salmonidae. The record is from RefSeq and is a predicted model, not a curated record.